GCAGGCACCCACUGCCCGAAUCUAGCAGGUUCCAACGUGUCUGAACAGGUAACGAGAAAGGUGGCUUAACCUUUGGUCUCUGCGCACCCGGGAACAUUGCCCUCCGAGCAAGAUGUCAUUUACUCAAAGAAGUAAUUAAAUCUGGUGGCAUAGUGCUAAUCGAGGUGGCAUUCAGCACUCGGAGCUGGAAAAUUCCUCCCCUUUGUAAAUGCCCAAACCUGGGGCACCUUAUUAUUCAAGUUUCUAAUUAAAAAGGAACAGGAGCAGCUCAAUAACCCGCAGCCAUCCAUCACGCUCAUGACCUAAUGACAGAGCGCAGAGUCGGAAGACGCUCUCCUCUCCCCUGCGCCCCGCGAGGCUCCACGAGAAGGCGGGAAGCACGGCCGGCUCGGGCCCUUCCCUCGCUGCUGACUUAACUGUCACCCCGCAUCGCUGCUGCUGAACUGCACGGAAGGUAUUUCUAAUCUCCUAACGGUGACUGGAAGGGGCUGAAGGACACAAAUUAAGUCUUGGAGCAGUGCAGCUGAGGAGGAAUGGAAGCCUUCAGAGAGAUAGAAGAUGACGUGAGAAUAAACUGACCAACUAUUCUAGAAACAGAGAGGGGAGCAAAUAGAACCACGACCUUUGUUGGGUGCGGUAAGUCAAGAUUCAGUCUGGAGGGACCAGCCCAGCUCUGAAAGGUAGAAGACAUCGGGGGAGAGCCUGCGGUGGAGGAGGAGGGCCAUUUUCUAGCCUGAGCAACCACAAUAAUGGGGCGUAUGGAUACAGAUGUGGCAUUUUGAACUCUCUAAAUUUAAACCAUCUGGGCUUGUGACAGAGCAAGCUCAUGAAAGAAAGAGUAUAGGAGAAGAGACCCAAGGACUAAGCCCUCCUCAUUUGUGCUAAAGGGA
Octodon degus (degu) is the source of this 890-nucleotide long non-coding RNA. RefSeq lists it as uncharacterized. The transcript is spliced from 3 exons. The record is from RefSeq and is a predicted model, not a curated record. NCBI's taxonomy places the organism in Eukaryota, Metazoa, Chordata, Mammalia, Rodentia, Octodontidae.